ACAUGAAAGACUAGGGGCUAGUUCAGAUACACAAGUUUGGAAAUCUGAAGAAAGAUGUUUUCAAUUUUCAUAACUUUAACUCAGCUUUUCUGAGUAAAGGGUUAUGAAAAUUGAGAAUGAAAACAAAGCCAAACAAUCUCAAUAAGUGUGCGGCCUACAAAAUGUGAAUAAUGAGUUAUGAAAACUGAGUAAUCAGUGAUAAAAACUCAGCAAACCAAACUUGGCCUGAAAAUUUCUUAUCAUUUCUUCUCUUCUCUUCCCCUUCUCCCGUCAUUCCACAUUCCAAUAAACAUGGCCUACGGCGUUCACCUUUUUGUUUCACAUAUCAGAAUGGUCCUCUCUUUUGGUAGAUUAGUAUGCAUUCUAGCUUAUUGAGAUAAGUAUUUUUUAUUGGAUCAACCUGGCUUUGGAAAGCAGUACUAAAUUGGGUGGGGUAGGGGUUCUAUAGAAAUUAAUUGAUUUAUUUAUUUUUGGGGUAACCUUUUGUGAGGAAUUAUUAAUGGGCUUAAAGAGGAAGAUCAAUUCAUGUAACUUUGAUGUAUUUUAAAAUUUUUCUUAAGAAAAAAAGAUUUUUUUUUUUUUGGUUGAAGUUUCUGACUUUUGUUUGGUGGCAAAGAAAAUUUGGGAGCUGAAAUGAAGAUUUUGUAAUCAAGAUAAUUUUUUUUUUUCUAUGGGGCACCUAAAUUGGGUGGGGUAGGGGUUAUAUAGAAAUUAAUUGAUUUAUUUAUUUUUGGGGUUAAAGAUGAUUGGAAUUUUUAUGAUCUUUGAUUUUUCUUGCUCCUGUAGGGUUCUCUGCAAGUUCUUUGCUCACGGGGCGUGUCUGUAAGGGGAGCAUUGUGAGUUUUCACAUGACUGGAAGGAUCCUCCACAUAACAUUUGCACCUAUUAUCAGAAAGGACUUUGUGCAUAUGGUAGUCGUUGCAGAUACGAACAUGUUAAAGCUUCCCGAGCCCAUUCUUCAUCAACCAAUGCACGCCAAUCUCUCGUUUCGGAUGUUGUUCCUCCGGGUCCAUUGAUUGCAAGCACUUCGAUUUUGGGAAUGGAAACUGCCCAUUUGGGAGUAGUUGCUUUUAUAAGCAUGCAUAUCGAGAUGGCCGUCUAGAGGAGGUAGUUCUACGUCAUCUUGGGUCUGAAGAUGGAGAAACUGUGAUAGCUAAAAAUAUUAGGCUGUCAGAGUUCCUUGGUAAUAUGCGUAUAAGGUGAACAGAUGCUGUUUUAUAGUCUAGAGAUAUCUAAUGAUAUGGAGAAAUCAUGCGCUGCUUCAAUUGCUGAGUUCUUUUCAAAUGCCAGUGUGGCACUCCAGUUGUUUUUGAGAUUUGCUUGCUGGAGGGGACCAGAACAUGGAGUGUUGGGCAUGCUAUACUAUUUGUCAAGGUGCAUCUUCUAUCAAAGUAAUAAAAUCGUCAUGCAUUGGAUGGGUAUGUUUGAGAGUUCUCAUCAGCUGUCUAUUUAUGGGAUAAUGAUUUUUAGUAAUGGACGUGCAAAUAGCCGUGCUGUUACCUAGCUGUAUGGUUCCCCCUCACCAACAGUGAUAUAUUUGGAACUGUUUAUAUAAUUAUUUUUGGCUUCCAUUCUUGUCAAUAUGGAGCUGUGAUGACAUGUUCUGGGCAACAUUGUCUGAGGUCUUUUGUAUUCUAAUCUGAAUUUUCCUGUUGUUUGAGGACAUUGCAUCUUGCGGGAUGUAAAUGGGGUUAAGAGCUCCCUAAAAUCAAUAGCUUUUACAGAUACUCA
This is an RNA transcript of Quercus robur (English oak), 1731 nucleotides long. It is a transcript of the gene named E3 ubiquitin-protein ligase makorin-like, with no coding region annotated. The transcript is spliced from 7 exons. The record is from RefSeq and is a predicted model, not a curated record. Lineage: Eukaryota; Viridiplantae; Streptophyta; Magnoliopsida; Fagales; Fagaceae.